UAUUUAAUAUACUCGGUGCUCCAAUCUAUUAUUGAAUGAACUGUCCCUUCGAAAGUUAGCUUUCUAAAGCCAUAUGUACUAUGGUAGAAGCCCGAGUUCAGUAGAAACUCCGGAAUUAAGUGGGGUGUGGACCAUUGUAGUGACAACCUGUUGUUUGCUGAUAUGGAUCCCGUUUGGAUUGACUUGUUUUUAGUGUUUUUAAGCUAAAAUAGACUUUUUAAGCACUUUUCAAGUGUUUGGGUAUAUUUAAAAAAUGCGUAUAAUGUUAAAAAUAAGUCAACAGUAAGCACUUAAUUUUAAGCUAAAAUUUUAAAAAUAAGUCAAAAGUUAUAAGUUAGAAAUCUAACUUAUGACUUACUUAUGACUUUUGGCUUAAAACGCUAAAAAAUAAGUCAUGGGUUACGGCUUAUAAGUUGAAAAGCCAAAAGCGAAUCAAGAUAUGCACAUGACUGGUAAAUGAUUUUUGAAGCUGGCUCCUCGACUGGUUAGUGUUGGAGCGUUAAGAGAAAGCAACACUCCAAUUUUGUCUCUUAAAGUUCAGUACGCUGCGAGUUGUGACACUAGAACAUGGGAUUAGUAGGGUUGAGCUCUGCAUUAUGUCUGGUUAUUACCUACCAAACAUUCGACAGCUAGUUGGCAUAUUCUUCUUCUAUGGACCAAGUUCUAUGUCUGAAGUUGUCUUGUUUUCUACUAGUAUUGUUUCUUUACAUAAUAGCGGUUCCAUUUGGAACACAGCCCCUGCUGAUAAUGUGGAUCUGGUCUUGUUUCAUUUGUUCCGUAAAGACUUGGCUUGCUGGUUAUGUAUAUUUAAUAUACUCGGUGCUCCAAUCUAUUAUUGAAUGAACUGUCCCUUCGAAAGUUAGCUUUCUAAAGCCAUAUGUACUAUGGUAGAAGCCCGAGUUCAGUAGAAACUCCGGAAUUAAGUGGGGUGUGGACCAUUGUAGUGACAACCUGUUGUUUGCUGAUAUGGAUCCCGUUUGGAUUGACUUGUUUUUAGUGUUUUUAAGCUAAAAUAGACUUUUUAAGCACUUUUCAAGUGUUUGGGUAUAUUUAAAAAAUGCG
Molecule: long non-coding RNA, 1062 nt
Filed under: Capsicum annuum
Lineage: Eukaryota; Viridiplantae; Streptophyta; Magnoliopsida; Solanales; Solanaceae
Description: long non-coding RNA (CANN_LNC017466)
Source: RNAcentral